This 454-nucleotide ribosomal RNA is filed under the name uncultured bacterium. Its description in RNAcentral is "bacterial SSU rRNA". It matches the Rfam family "Bacterial small subunit ribosomal RNA", at positions 8 to 507 of the family's 1533-position model. The record is from RNAcentral.
AGAGUUUGAUCAUGGCUCAGAGCGAACGCUGGCGGCAGGCCUAACACAUGCAAGUCGAACGGAUCCUUCGGGAUUAGUGGCGGACGGGUGAGUAACACGUGGGAACGUGCCCUUUGGUUCGGAACAACUCAGGGAAACUUGAGCUAAUACCGGAUGUGCCCUUCGGGGGGAAAGAUUUAUCGCCAUUGGAGCGGCCCGCGUCUGAUUAGCUAGUUGGUGAGGUAAAGGCUCACCAAGGCGACGAUCAGUAGCUGGUCUGAGAGGAUGAUCAGCCACAUUGGGACUGAGACACGGCCCAAACUCCUACGGGAGGCAGCAGUGGGGAAUCUUGCGCAAUGGGCGAAAGCCUGAUCCAGCCAUGCCGCGUGAGUGAUGAAGGCCUUAGGGUUGUAAAGCUCUUUUGUCCGGGAAGAUAAUGACUGUACCGGAAGAAUAAGCCCCGGCUAACUUCGUG